This is a non-coding RNA of Equus caballus (horse), 16385 nucleotides long. The record is from RefSeq and is a predicted model, not a curated record. NCBI's taxonomy places the organism in Eukaryota, Metazoa, Chordata, Mammalia, Perissodactyla, Equidae.
GUCUUUUGUUGGUGGUUGCGUCAGGUCUUGGGAGAAGGAAAAAAAGUAUUCAAUACCUGCUAGCUAUGUUAAAAAAAAAACUCUUUUUUUAUCCACACAAAAGAGUUAGACAUAGUAUUUUCUAAAUGUCAAACAAAAUUAAGAGUGUGAAAAGAAUUCUAAAUCAUAUAGUACCCAAAUAAAAUGCCAUUAAUUAACUUUUUGUAAAAUGCUGUUUGGUUAUUAAAAAGCUUCAGGAGUAAAUGUCAGCUGUAAUGUGAAGGGUGUGCAUAAGACCAUGCGAUAGGCAUUUUGACAAACUGGCUGUCUCAGGAGAAGCUGGAGGCAGUUCAAGGCCUUUUGUAUUUGCCCUGUGGGCCUUAUUUGGCAAAACUGUAUAAAUCACCCUGAUUUUAUUUCUAUGAUGAUGCCGCAUCCUACGUUCCUCCUAAAAGUACUUAAGAACCCUAGCAGAGGAUUGGUAAGUCACACACAUGCUAAUUUUGUUAGUCCCCUGGCCCAUAUUAUGUAGUUAAUCUCGAAUUGCUACAGGCACACUGACAUCAUGGCAUAAGAAAAGAAUUUACAGAAAUAAAUGCUUAUUUACUGAAAUGCCAAAGCAAGUCUCUUUUGGAGCAGCUGACUGUUAUUCUUAAAGACCUGCCUUAUCGCUAGACUGCCUAGUUUCCAGAGAAAUCAUUACUUGUUCCCACCUGUCCAUUCAACCCUCUCAGGAGAAAAAGACCUUACAUUGAUUGAUUUCCAACACUAGCUACAGACACUUAGGGGUGAAUUCACAAAAGAGCAAGUCAUAAAAUGGCACCUUUUAUAUAAAGAAUUGUACCACCUCUAGCCUCUCUCACCAACCUACCAUAAUUUGAGGUUUGAGAUGGGCAGAAGUGAAGCCCUUUCUCCCUGUUAAACAUCUCCAGAAUAAAUCAGAAAGUUGAAAAACAAUUGUGGGAAAACUUUUUGGGUACUCCAAAAUCACACUUGCCUGUGGCCUCCAUUAAGGGAGUUGACAUCAUUGGUCUCAUUUGCUUUGGCCUGUGGUAGCCAAGAAUCCCCAAAGUAGAAGGCAAUUAAUUUAAUUUAUAGUCUAGUGUUAAUUUUGUAAUGGCGUUAUUGGAUUAUUUGGGUUUAAUUUCCCUGAGGAUUUAAUACAUUUCUCUUCCAAAUUGUUCCUUUGCAAACUGCUGAUGGAACUUCCUUUUUUUGUGGUCAGUAGAUCCAAACUUUUGAACAAUGGAUGCAGCAAGGAGCAAGUUAUAUUGGCUGAGUUCACACCCUGGAAAAAGUGGAAGGGAUUAGCCUGGGUCUCUUUCGAAACACGCUUGUAUGUGGUUGUUUCAAACUUCAGCAGUUCACCAGUUUUCAGUGCUGUGGCUUGGGGUUUUGGCACAUCGAUUAGAGUUUUUCUGGUUGCAGUCAGCAUCUAGAGUAGCUGAUGUGACUGAUUACUCCCUUGCCUCCAAGUUUAAACUUCCAAGUUUGGAGUGUAAUUAGUGUUCUAAUCUUAUUAAUAUACGGCUUGGCUGUUUUCAACUGUAUCUUCAGUUAGCUUUGAAAAUGUUAGCAGAUAUAAAACAACAUUACCUAACAUAUGCGGUAUGAAAUCAUCAUAAAUCGUUUGAUAAAAUGUGCUGCCACAAACACAGCACAUUUAGGGAUUCACAGCACAUACGAGCAUCCAAAAAAAAAAAAAAACUAUCUCCCUGACACAUGACAUUUACACACAUGCUUCAUUUACUAAGAUUUUAGAGAUAUUAAGGCUACUCCCUUCUAAGCUUCUUUCUCCAGCCUGGACACUUCUCCUGAGCUUUAGACCUCCCAGGCACUCAGCUUCCUACCAGACAGUACUGUCGAGGUGUCCCACAAGCAUCUCAAGUUCAGUAUGUCUGAAAUGGAAUUUAUUCAAUACCUGUCUCUCCUCCUAUGUUUCUAAUUUCGAUGAAUAGGACUCUAUCAGUCAGAGUCUAAUCAGAAGAUAGAAAACACAGUAAUUUGAAUAGGAAAUGAUUAAUAUAAAGAAUUAUUAAUUAUAACAGGAUUAACCAUAAAGGGGCAAAGAAUACACUAGGGCCAAGGGAGAUUAUCUAAGGAAAGGAUAAAUUGAUGGGAAUUUAGUGCUUAUUGGAGAAGGUGUGGAUGGCAGAGAAGUUUUCUGGGUAACCCUGGCCAGAGCCUGUUUGUAAUCACAAGGGGAGACAUCUUUUGGCAGUGCAGAGGGCCCAAUGUUGGGAAGGCAACUUCUAGGAUAUCUCUGAGACUCACUGGGAAUCUGCCGCUGAAAUUUGAAGGGGGUGAGCGCUACUAGAUGUCCCCGACACUACCACUGGCAGCCAUGUAUAGGAGCACAAAGAAGCAAAUGGAAGCACACUUGAACCAGGAAGAGAAGUCCCUUCCUCCUGCAGUAUCCCUCCAGUGACUUCUACCAACAAAGCUUAAAACUGUGCCAGCUACAAAGGAGAAAUGCUUACUGGGUCCAUAUCCAUUAUCUCAGAACAUGCAGUGAAUGGUGGAUUUGGAGCUGAGAGGCAAUAAAUAGAUAACUGGUGCAGUUACUAUAUCUACCCAUUUAUCCAGUUCAAAAUCCUUGUGAGAUCCUUGACUUUUUCCUCCCCUUUUCUUCCACAUCCCAUUCUACAGUUAGUGAACAAUUGUGUUGUUUCUAGUUUUGAGCUAUUACACUCAAUAACAAUAACCAAUUUUUUUUGACCACUUAUGAUGUGCCAGGAACUAAGUCCUUUGUGAAUUCACUUGUUUAUCUUUCAUAAUAAUCCCGUGAGCAGGUACUAUUAUUGUUCCUAUUCUACAGAAAGGCAAACUAAGGUGUGGAAAGAUUAAUAACUUUCCCUAUAGGUGGCAGAGCCAGGAUUUGAGUGCAAGCGAUCUGAAUACUUACUCACUGAGCUAGUCUGCCCAGUCCAGUCUGGUCUUUCCUGACUUCUAAAUAGCUCUUACAUCUGUUCAAUUCUCUCCUUCCCAAUUUCUAUUAUUCAGUUCACCAUCUUCUCUUGCCUAGAUCUUUUUUGUGGUCUUCUCCAAUUCUUCCUCCACAGUGCAAUCAGAAAAAUUUUUAUAAAAUACAAUAUAUUUAUGAUUUCUUCCUUAAUACCUUUCAGUGGUUUCCACUUUCUCUUGGAAUCACUUAGAUAGCCCAGUCUUCAUGACCUGUUCUCUGCUUAUUUCUCCAGUAUUAUCUCUCGCCACUCCCCACCAACUCUGCUUUAUGACAAACUUCUUCUGUUCUUCCAAAUGGAUGAGGCUUCUCUUGCCUCCAGUCCUCUGCUCACGACUUUCCUGUGUUUGGGAUAUUCGUCCACUCCCCUCUUCUUCUUACAUCUACUCAUUGUUUGGGUCUUGGCUGAGGCAGCGCAUGUUGUGAGAAGUCUCUUCUGACUUCCAGCUCCAGUAAAUGGCUCUUUGUUCUUCCCUAAUCAGGAUUUGUCCUGUUUCCCUGUCUCCUCCUCCACUGCUCUGUGAACUAUGUGAGGGCGGGACCUUGCUUGUGCAGAUCAUAGUGGUAUUUCCAUUGUCUGUCUCACAGAAACUCAGGGAAUUUUAUUUCUAAAGGAAUAAAUAAAUUUUUCAUCAGGAUUGGGAAUAGGAGUUGAAAGUGAAGUUGCUUAUUAAUUAUUUUUCCCAGUUUUGGCUGUUGACCAGAGUUUUCUCUUUACUGUGACUUAUACUUUAUUAGAGCUUAAUUGUGUGGCUUAUCCUGAAAUCACAACAUCUUACCAUUCUCUUGUUGAGGAUUCACAUCUGAGGCUUUCCCAGACUGAGACCCAUACAUGGACAGUCAGGUAAGAACAGGUUGAAUGUGAGUUUUGGUUUAUUCUGUUGUAGUACAACAUGCAGCUUGAUGAGUUCAACAUGUUCUGAUGGAUCUUGCCAUGUUGAUGGGUGUGAAAAGGGUGUGAAAAGGGCCUACACAGCCCGAAGCAGGGCUCCCUGAUGAUGCUUCAGGGUCUCCCACGAGGCAGACUUCACAGGCCUACUGGCUCCUCUGGCUGAGGGCAGAAAAGGAUUCUCUGAUUGCUCAUUAUUUUUUCAUGCCCACUAGAUGCACCCUAACUUCUGGCAGGCAGUUAGGGUAGGGGACAAAUUAUUGCCACCAAUCAGGAACUGAGCUGACUUGAGUUGGGUUUAGGACUCUGUAAGGCUCUGGUUUAUCUACACCUCGAAUAAAAUAUUUAAAAUAAUGGGUUGUUUUUAGGCCAUGGGCUGCAACUUUUCAUUUAAAUCUUUAUGUAGAAGGGCCAACUCAUGCCAUGCAUUGAUCCAGGUCCUUGACGCCACGGUGAGGUCUACCAAAGAGGCGGUGAAUUUUAAUAUCCAGAGGAACCUCAUUCUAGAACCCUUCUCCUCACCCUCAACCCAGCAGUUUACUUCCAGGGUAUUUGCCAUUUUACACUGUUUGUUUUUCUUUCCUUCUAAGGACAAUCCAAAUGUUGUGCGAUGCAAAAGAAUUUAUGGGCAUUAUAGUCUUAUUUUGCGUUUCAUGUUUGCAAAGUAUUUUGCAACCAUUUGUUAACUAAUUUUAGGCCCUCUUUGGAGGAUGGUGGUGGUAUUACUGUGUAAUUCAUUUCAGCAUUAUGUGUGCAAAGAGAAAGAAAUACCUGCCUUGGUUCCAAAUAAAAUCAUCCUAUGCAAAUUGCAUAAAAUUACUAUUUUUAAAAUGUGUGGUGGUGCCUUUAUUUCAAGAUUUAUGAAUGGUUUGUUAUAAUGAGCUUGUCAUAUUUUGAUAGCAGGAUUGUAUUUAUUUCUCUGCUUUUUAUUCUGACGGAUUAUAAUGCCAGGGUCUUGGAAGGUGCCGACAUGAACAUGGGACAGAGAUUAUUUCUCCAUGUAGUAAAAGCGGUUGAAAUUCAAUUCUAGUUGAAGUAACUUAAAGAAUCAAUUUGUACGAUGCAAGAAUAAACAUUAAAUAUUUAUAAAAGUUAAUUCAUAUGAUUUAUUCCAGAAGGUUGAUUAAAUGGCAAGGUCCCUGUGUCUAAAGGACAUAUUUUAGAACAAUAUAUUGAACAAACUUUCAGUAUCAGUAUUAGGUCUGUCAAACGAUAUGGAGUGGUAAUGUUUUAAAAAAUGUUUAAAGCAGUUGUGCAAGGCUGAUUAAGAAGCAGCCUCUGCAGCACAGCUUUCCAAUUCGAGCUUUUAUGCUUUUUAAUGUUUCAUUUUUAUUGACAUUUUUUUCCUUGCAGGAAAAAUGUGUGAUUUUUACUGGCCUGGCAGGGGGUUGUGGUACCUCUUGCCAGAGUGUCAAGAAAACUCAGAAUUCUCUACAUGAGGGACAAAGACCAGAUGUUUAGUUAAAACAACCCAUAGCUUUUAUACAAAUAUGGGUAAUGGAAACCCAGACCUUUACUGGGAUUUUUUUUUUCUCUGUUUUUGGCCACUCUUGCUUUUUAUAUUUUUAAAAUAAGUGAGCAGCCACCUUGUCUUCCAACCUGAAUGGAAUAAUUUAGUUUCUUACAAAGUGUGUGCUUUUUCAAUAUCUUGGUUUUUUUGUUUUGUUUUUUCUUUGUUUUGAAGGAUUCUGCUCUAAAAUGUGGAAGGUACUCUUCAAAUAAUGAUUUGCUUUAAUGAAAAGAAUGUUUGAGAAUUUCAGUAGCUUAGGAAGGACGUGGCUUAAUCCUUGGGCCUUUUCCACUAGUCUGGCUGCAUCUUUGCUGGGGAGGAAUUCUGUUGCUUAAACCUACACCGAUGUGGGUUUUGGAGGAUGUGCAUAAGGACAACUGUUUUCCCAUCUCAAUCGGGAAUAAGGGCAGCUGGGUAACUAAUAAAAAGGAGCAUCAUUACAACUAUGGAUCCACCCAGGUGCUCUUUCAUCUCUGAUGAAAAGAGAUGAUAAGGGGGCUAAUUCAAGUAUGUAUGUGAAUGGGUUGUUGUUUUUUUCUUUUUAGUUGGAGGUCAGGUGGUUUCUAUGCUCCUGAGUGCCGUUGGUAGGAGCUUCUGAAAAGGUCCACAGCAGCCAUGCAGUUCCCGUGGUUCUCAGCAGAAGCUGGCCUAGCUCUCACCACCCUUGCAUUAAUGCAGUGGCACUUUGACUUUAUUCUUUUCUGUUACCAGUCCUUUGGCUUUGGCCACACCACCUGCCCUUCUGCUCUAGGUCUGAGCUCAUUUGAGUAUCUCAUACCAGUGGGCUCCUGCAUCAUUUGGAUCACAGUGGCUGGACUUCAUCACUGAGGAGGAGUUUACACUUCCCUUUGACAUUGGUUUUAUUGGACCCCCAAAGAGAUGUGUCCGUGACAUAGCCAGGAAUUACAGCAUGGCAGUUCUGCUGGCUAAACUCAACCAAUUCCAUGACAAAUAAAACUCAACCAAUUCCAAGCAAGCAAACAGAAAAAUCCUCAAAUAGUUGUCUUUGGAGGAACAUCUAAAAACAUACUUCUAAACCUACUGUGGCUUUAGGAAUAAAUUUAAUUAAAGGAGAAGAUUUUCUGGCAAUCUCUUGAUUCUAAAAGACGAGAUCUAGGCAGAAAAUCCUGUACUUAUUGAGGUUAAAUGAGCUAAAUGAAUGUUAAUGUAAUCCUAUUAAAUACAUAAUGGAUUUAACUUUAUACUGGAUCUUGUACCAAUUAAGUUUAAGAAAUCAGAUAUUUCCCCAUUGAGAACCUAUAAUAAAGAAAAUAGACAAUGCUGGUAAAGGUUUUAGAACAUAUUUAGACACACAAGCAGGCAUACUAUCUCUAGGGACAAUAGCCUAUUAUAAACACAAGCUUGGAUGACUCAGAGCAGUUUUAUAAGGGUGGGCUUUGGCUGAUGGGCUAUGGUAGAGCCCAUUCUAAUUCACUGAUAGGAGUAGCCAAUGAUCCAUGAUCCAGAAGCAUCCAACUAGGAGACUGAUGUGGAUCUUUUAGUAAAUUCCAUGCCCCAUCCCCCAACCUCUAGGUCAAGAGCGGUGGAAUAGCCUUUCUUAUGUUUCCAUAUUCUUGAGGCUGAUUUAUUUGUUUAAAUUUACCACUUCAAAACUUCCCUGAAUGUAUAUCUUAACCUGAUCUAACUUGGAUAAAAAUAUCCAAGGAGAAGGGGUUCCAGAAUCCUGGGAAGUCCCUGAUACACAGGCUAAGCAGGGCAUGGUGAAAGAUGGAGUAGGAGAGAAAUCACCGUGGGCUCGCUUUGGACCUUCCUGCCUCUUGAGCAGUUUCCUAUUCUUGUGAAUGUUUGUAGUUGAUGCUUUCAUAUUGGCACAGCUGCAAAACUGAUUCUCCUUUACCUGAUAUAUUAUUCAGAGCUCCUUGGUUGCCAUUAGUGAAAUUUUUAAUGUGUUUAAGCAAAAUGAGGAAUUUUUUAUGAGGAUACUGGGAUGUCUUAUAAAUGGGAUAGGGGCCUAUAGAACGUCUGGAGCCUAGGAGUCAAAUUACCUUCAGAACUUUCUCCUGGAUCCUCAGUGCUUCUCUCAGUGCAUCAGUUUCAUUAUCCUUUCCUACUGACAUUUUGAUUUUUCUGCUUCUCUAUCCAUUUAUUAACACCUGAGUUUGAGUAUCCUCAAUUUCAGCCAUCCCAUGAGAAAAUGCCUCAUCUCAGUUCCACCUUCAAAAUACUAGGGAAAGAUUCUGAUGGGCCCAGUCCAGAUAAGGUGCCCCAUCCUGAGCCAGUGAUCUGUGGCUAAGGAUGGUCACAUUGCAUAACAUAGAGGAUCCUAUUGCAAACCUGUGAAAGAGUUGGGGGCAGCUGGUGCUACUAGGAAGACAAUAUAAAAGGUGUUCAAUACAGCUGGAUAGAUAGAGUGUAAGGGAGAAUCUGAACUGUUCUCUCCCUGUCUCCAGUUCCCCAAGUGGAGGAAAACUACUUCCAAGCUGGUGAAAAACUAAGUUCUGAGUUGCAGUCAGAGGGUGAUGUAACCAUUCUGUGUUGGUGUGGGCAUUUCUCUGUUUCUCUCUAAAGAUGAGAGGUCUGAAUCCUACCCUGGUGAUUCUAGUAGACAGUGCUUUCAUCUCUGCCAUCUGGGUCUUUGUUUUUGAAAGCAGGUGUUCUUGUGAGAUAUUUUUCAUGGCUCAUGCGGGGCUUUGAUGGUAAACACAAAAGAAAACAAAACAAAUUCUAGAUCUUCCUUCCCCCGGGGUGUCUGAGGGCACAAUUCCCAGCUUUUCUCCAUAUAUCCAUCAAAAGCUGUGCCAACCUCGAGAGCCUGUAAGAUUCCCUUUCUCCCCUGGCAGGUGAGAGCCCUGGCUCAGGUGUUUCUCUUUGGCAUUUGGAGGCGCUCCUGUUUCCAACGUUAUGCUCAGCACCAGAUAUGAAGCACUGUCCUGAGAAUUUUAAGACCAGGUGGUUUGGUCCCUAAAUGGUCCUAAACUCUUUUUAACUUGGGCCUCUUUCCUAAAUGUUUCACGCCCUUUAUUUCGCUGUGGUCCUACUGACUUGCCUCAUUUCUUCCCACUGAGUUUACUAAGGUCGAGUGAGUUCUAUGACCUGGAGUAGAGUGGUUCAUUGCUUUUGAGCAAGAAAGUUUAUUUUUCCAUUAAGGUGGCAGAUUUGCCAUUCUCUGCCUGACACUUGGGUAGUCUUCCUUGGAAGCACUCCACAAUUCCCUUCCCUCACAUAACUGUGUAGAGAUCAGUGGGAAGUAUUUAUUUUGGAGACGGUACAAAUAAGACUCUUGUGUAUAAUUCCAGAUAUAAGUACCUAUUCUUUUGGUAGUUAGGUUCAUUGUGCUCUGUCAAUUUUUUGACAGUAUUUACACUAAAUUAGAAGUAGUAAUAAUGGGACAUCCUAGUUCAGUCCUACAAGCAUAUCUGUCUACAAUAAAAUAUUUGCUUUCAUUGACAGAAAGUAUUUUACAAGUGUUCAUUAAAACAACUUGAUAACUGCAUAUCCAUUAUCAAUAACCUAAGAUGAGGAAUUACAUGUUACGUGACUCACGUAACCAAUAAGGAAGCUGCCAUUUCCAUAAUUAUAAAGAAUUCAUAUCACAUCCAUUUUACUAUUCUGUAUCAUUUGACCCAUUUAUGGCUCAUUUUGAAAGAGGAAGAUUUAAAAAUUUAUAAAGUUUUUUGAAUGAAAAAUCUUCCAGGUAAUUUCUCCCUUCCAUUGCAAGCAGUAGGUGCUCUCCACCUACGAGGCUGGGCCGUUUGGUUCCACACCCCUCUCCUAUAGCUACACGCUAGUGAAGGAAGUUCAGGCUGACCCCUCUCCCUCAGCAUAGAGCCCGAGCAGAGGACACAUGCCCCCACUCCAGGAAGCCUUCUGAGAGCUAAAUUGUGAAAAGAGUUGGAGUGGGGGAGGAUGAUGCGGAUUGGCCACAUUCUGGGAAAAAUUAAAGCCGUGGGGUGAAGGACAGCCACUCAGUGUCCAUGUACUCUCUGUUCAGUGGCCCUGUCAAAGGUUUUGAACAGCCCGUUUCGAGAAAAUGUUGAGCAAAUGCUGAGCAGGGCUGGCUGAGUCAUCAGCCCAGAAACUUCCCCCAAAAUGUCAGUUACUGGUUGCUGCCGCUGCUGCUUCUAUUCUUCCUGUCUCCUAGAGUUAAUUACGGGGCCGGAGGAAGAGGAAGUGGGAUGCAGGCUGGGAGGGAGGAGAGCAUCCGUAACUGGAAGGCUGGUAGAAGAUGAACUUUUAUCUUCUAGGUUUUCUUUCUGGCACAGAGGAGAGAACCGGGCCUAGUGAACGAUUCUUGGCCUGUUAUUCUUUUCCCUCACCUCCACCCUAAAUCUCAAAAGUAGUUGAAUUUGGGGCAUCUUGUAAUUAGGGUCAAGGAGAUCCCCAGAUUUUUGUCACAUGUGAAGACCUGGGGCAGUGUUGUUCUUGAUACACCGUAAAUUAGUACUGAGAGAUUCUAACCCCUCCCCCACGUGGUUGGAUUGCCUCACCCUCUCUCUGGAUGCGCCUGCAAACAACAGUUGCCGAAGUGAUUUUGAUGAAAUGUGACAUUUGCAGACUGUGGCCACCGACCAAAGAAUCUGAGCUAGAGUAUCCAACAUUUUACAGGCUACAAAAUAGAAGCUGGCCAGCAUUUAUUGCUUGUACUAACAGCUUGCGCCAAGUUUCCUAAGCCUACAGAGCAGACCUCUUACUGCUGCUAAUUUUACUGUCAGCAAACAAAGGGGAAAUAGGAAACAAUAUGGAACAACUGAAGAGGGCGUCUGUGAAAGUGAUAUAAACUCAGGUAAUCUGAAGAGGGGGCAACUUUCUUAUUUCUAAAACUAAAAGGGACUCAAUUUGCACAGAAAUAAAAUGGAAAAAAAAUGUAAUGUAGAAAAAGUUAUAAGCAGAGAUUCUGCACCGGUUUCUCAGGAUGGCAGUAAUUUACAUAUUAAGGCAGCCACGAGGGAAAUGUUAAAAACUCUCCAGGGAAAUUUCCAGUAUGAUGGAUAGAACUUUAAUAUUAAUAUAGGAUUCAUCAUGAUAAUGUAAGUCAUAGAUCUAAAUCUUCCUUCAUCAAUUGAAUCAGUCCUUUUCCAGCCUAUUAUACAGGUAGUACAUGCUUUAAAUAGUGUCAUAUAACAGGCCUGAAGUCUUUCUUUAUUGCAGUUUCUCAAAUUCUGUUCACAGGAAUGGUGACCCACUGAGUCAUUCAUCUUUCACUGUGUUAUCUAGACCAUCUGCAUUUCCCUCCCUUUUUUAAUUAAUAUUUAGUGCUCCUUAAAAUAUACUUAAAUUGUGCUUUUUUUUUACAAAUAGAAAAGCAUAAUUUGACACAUACUAUUUCAAAAUAUACAUGCAGUGAAUGUAAAGGGAAGAUCUGAUUAUUAGUCUAUUUAUUGAUCAUUAUGCAAAGAAGAAAGGUAUUUUCUGGGUUGCUAUUUGGUUUGGUUAUCUAGUACCUAAUUACCAGCCAUAUGCAUGUGUAUUGUUCAGUCACCUUACUCUGGGUUUUCUGAUCUUCUUCUAACACUGACACCAAACCAAAUGGUCACAUAGCCCCUGUAGAAUCCUGUAAGACAAUGACAACUUUUCUGGAAUGAGAAUGAUUGUAGUGCAGUAAUAUUAAAUGUUAAGACUUUGCUGCUUUUUCCAACAGGAGUUUGAGCAUUCAUUUAGCAAUAAUCGUGCCUGGGAUAAACCUCAAUGGCCAUGAUCACUGCACAAAGCUUCAGCAUUCAUUAGUGGACUUUACAAUUACCUUUUCUUAUCUUAGUUUAAAAACACACAUGAAAAUAAAUCUAUGAGUACAGAUCAUGAAUACAGACAUAAAGUGUGCACAAAGGUAAGUAGACCCUCAAGUUCUACAAAGAAAAGGGGGCUUUCUUUAAGCUUGAGAAUCAUUGCAUACUAUGUCCCUCUUCUAGAUUUAUAAUGCACCUUGGCUCCCAGAAAGUAACCAGUGUUAACACUUGGGUGUAUCAUUUCAUGUAUUUGGUUGGCAUAAAAUUUUGGGGAUGUAAAGGUUCUGAGAAGUCCUGCUGUAAAGAAAAUUGUUUAAUGUUGUAGAAUCCAGCAUUUCCUAAACGUUCUUUUGAAGAUGGAAUCCUUUUUUUCCAAAUAAGAUCUAUAAACACAUUGGGAAGUGCUGGUCUAAUAAAAGUAUUCAUUCAUAAACUUGGCCUUUUCUGUUUUCAGGCUUUGAUUUUCAUUGGAAAUGUUUCAAUGAACUCUGAUUCAGCCCUUAAGUCCUGGCUCAGGUGUCACUUCCUCUGUGAUGAUUUCUCUACUUGCCCUAGAAUACAUAUGUAAUUAUUCCCUUUUGCCCCUACCUCCAUGGCAGUAUGUGUGUGUGUGUGUUGUGUGGCAAAUCUAUGUUAAUGUUUACAGCAUGAGCUAAUUUAUUUUUUAUUUCCCCCUCUCUAAUCUACCAUCUCCUUUGUAUUAAGGAGUGUGUUUUUGUUCCCAGUGCCCUACAGAGUGCCUGGCUCAUGGUAAGAGUUCCACAAAUAGCUGCUGAAGGAAUGAAUGAAUAAGGGGAGCCUGGGAACUUAAGCAGAAAAAUUAUCUUUCUGGUGUGUUGAUAUGUGAUUAAUGAAUGAACCCUUUUGAGUUAAGUACUUUUCCCAUUAUAGUGACUAAUUCCCAUACAGUUGAUUGGAUUAAGAUUGACUCUGAUGUGAAAUGGUUAAUCAUUUAGUCUGCCAAAAAUACAAGAUUGACGGUUCUUCAGUCUGUUUCCCCCCUUAUAUAGACAUGAGUGGUAUACGUGAAAAAUUCUAGCACCCAGUCACAACGGGGACAUUUUUCUUAUCUAUACUCACAGUCAGUCCAUAACUCAGAAUUUUUCUUUUUUUAACUGCUAAGGGAAAAAACAGAAUUUAUAGACCUUUUUGCCUUUCAUUAAAACCUAGCAUUACAGAUUUAAAAAAUUACGGAUUUGACUGUAUUAUGCUUGCAGGCUUUUUAUUUGUACUUAAAAUAUUUUUUUCUGAUACACUCUAGGCUUCAGAUUUUCAAAUUUUACUGUGAUUUAGGCAUGUUUUCCUCCCUUUUUUCCUUCCUUCUUUUAUUUCUUUUCAACUUUUAAAAGACUUGCUAGAAUAAACAUAAUACUCUCCCUCUCUGGUUCUACCCUACUCCAGUUCCAUGCCUGUGGAGUGACCAGUGUUGACACUUUGGUGUGUCACUUCAUCUAUUUGGCAUAAAUUUUGGGGGAAUGUAAGGACCUAGGCCAGGAUGGAGGCUAGAAGGCUACAUUUAUAACAUUCUUUUCUACGUUUGUCUGUUCUCUUUGGAAGAUGGUUCACAAAGCCCCAACCUGGUAAGGACACUAAAAGGAAUUAAUAUGCACAAGAAACUUAGUUAUGUUUCUAUCAUCAAGACUAGGCUGGCAAAUUAGCUAGGGUAAAGUCAGCUCGUUCUUCAGUAUUGUCAGAAUGUGAAAAAGAGGGAGCACACCUGAAUGGAAGAGAAGGAAGAAAAACGGAAUUAAGCCAGAAAGACUGUUAGACUAGGGUCAGGAAUACCUACUAUCUGCCCCCUCCCCAUCCCUUAAUUUUUUUAGCACUCAAGGCCACCACUGCAGCUGAGUGAGACUAAUGGGUACUUCUGGCACCACUGGAAGGCCUAAAACAAAAGCAAAGGGAUGAUGGUAGUUGGGGAGGGGAGAAGGGAGGCAGGAGGGGAAGAAAGAGACAGAGGAAGAGGGGAGCGAGACCGUAUGAUGUAAUGGGAAAAGCACUCAGUUUAGAAAGCAGAUUUCUAAAAGCGCUCUAUUUAGAAAGCACUCAAUUUAGAAAAUUCUAGUUUCUAGCUUCCGUGUGACCUUGGGCAAUUAUCUAGCUCAUAGUUUCUUCAUGUGAAAAAGUCUGUGGAUUGCUGGAUGAUCUCUAAGGAUUCUCUACCUCUAAAAGUAAACGUUGGUGAGGUGAGGUGAAGAAUUUGAGAGAGCUGGAGAAGAGAAAGAGAGAUAUGUGUAUGUGAUUGGUAAAGGUCACCCAACUCGGGUGCCCCUGAACUUGUCUACUCAGGAGCAAUUCCUGCUUCCUCAAAUCUGGGAGACAAUUGAUUAUAUCUAGAAGUUUCUGUUCAUUAGCUGGGGUGGAGAUGAGAAUCUAGCUAACAGAGAAAGGAGCUGUUUUAUAUAUAACCCCUUCCAGAAAGCCAAAAGAUGGUGAGAAGUAGAUAGGGUUCUUGGUAACCAGGUAAGUCUUGCACCUGCAGGUUCAUCCCAGGAAACCAAGCAUGGAAAUGGUGACUGGAUCCUCAGACUUUCAGCUUUAGAUGGGGUAAUUUUGACAGGGCAUAAACUCCUUGGCUAAGUACCAAAGGUUCCUGGGAACCAAUUUCUAUAGCAUGGUUUAGACUCAAGACUUUUUGAAGGCCAAAACAAAGAGAAUGAGUUUCAUAUUCUCAUGCAGCUGCUCUGAUGCCUGAAUUCCAAAGGCACUUUAGAAACAGAGCUCAAACUUGGACCCUUGACCAUCAGAGUUCUCCCUGCAGCCCAUUUCAGCAUAAGCUCGGGGACAGUCAGCUGUGGAAUGUUAGAAGAGUAGAAUAAAUUUCCAGGGCUGUAGGCUGUUAGCUGAUUCCCCAGAAAGCAGUCCUGUGAAGCCAUUCUUAUUUUUACAUAUGGCGUAUCUGAAAAAGGGAUUAUUCUGCAAUUGCAACAUUUUUUGUUUUAUGUGCCUCUGAAGGCAAGAUAUGUUUUGUCCUCCAUCAAGUCUUAAAAAAUAUUUAUCCUGGCAUCUUCCCAUUUUUCUUUCCACAUGGAAACUCUGGUAUUUUUAAGACUAGUUGUGAAAUCAUUCCUAGGUAUGCACAUUAUUUGGAGAUCUUAGAAAAACUUUUAAGGAAAAUUAAUAUAAGAUGCUAUUUCUUUUAUGUACCAGACAUUACAAACCAUUCUUUUGUUGGGCUUUUCUUGAUUAGCAAGAUGUAAUAAAAUGACAUGUAUUCUCACCCUGUAGCAGGUAUGCUUUAUCUUGUGAGACAGAAUAUUGAAAACAGCAUGGAAGAUAAGAAAAAAAAAAUGAGAAUUUGAAAAAAUGUCCUUAUGAUAGCAUCGUGAAAGCAAUGCUAUCUUCUGGUUAAAUAAAGCAUGAACAAUAAUUUUGGGUUAGGUAUGUUCUUCAAUUAUGCAUUUGAUUUUGGUAAUAAAAGAUGCAUGUUUUUCAAUAAUGUUUGGAAUUUAAAUAUACUGUUCCUUUUUUUCUACUCUUCCAGAGAGCACUUACCAACGCAAAAGUUACCUCUAACCCAUUCUUGUCCAUUAAAAAUUAAAUGCUUUUACAGUAAAUUAUUAAAAGUGCUAGGUUGGCUGCAAAUCACCAAAGGUACCAUAAACCAUUAUGCAAGCAAGCAAGUGAGAAGUCUGAUUAAAUCUAAGGGAUCAGAAGGCACAUACAUCCCUCGAUAUCCAUCACAAAUUCUAAACUACAAAAGCAACCAUAAAAUGGUACAUUAAAUUACUUUAAAAAACUCUUCCAGGGUUUUCAAAAUUCAACAGUGACUUGCCUUUUCAAUUAAGUAUGAACUAAAAACCUUCCACUGCUAAGCACAAAUACACCACUAUUUAGAGGUUAUUUCCACUUUCUUUAAACCUGCAGCAAAAAUUGGCCUCAUUUUUCCAACUGAUGUCACUCACUUAAUGGAAUUGAGGCGUUCUAACAGUUGCUGAAAAGCUAGUUAUUAAUUAAGUCCUGUUAUCCCACAAAGUAUCUUCACUAUCAUUUGAUAACAUUGAAAUAGGAAAUUAUGGGCCCUGAAUGUUGCAAAAUCAUGUUGAAAAUGUUAGAAGUAUUUAAAUAAGAUAUAUUUAAAGAAAAAAAAAAACUCAUGGUUUUGGUUUAAAUGAGAUGAUAUACUCUAAAUUUAAAAUGGCUAGUAUAUUGCCUGGCACAUAGGAGAUGCGCAAUAAAUGGAGGCUUUUCUUGUUAAUCUCAUUUUCAUUUGAAAAACUCAGUUUCCACCAAGGCUAACUUAUCUAGCGCCACCUGGAUGGUGUGAGCUGAGGGCGAUUUGCUCUGAAGCAUGUGCCCUUCUCUGAGUGUCACCCCAAUUGUUACUGACCUUCUUAGAAUCUGCCCUUGCAGGCAACCAUCUAAGUACUCACGUACGCAUAAAAUGGUCUAUUGAAACAGCUCCUUGACAAAGAAGAAGAUACACGAGAAAGAAAAACAAACAUGGAGGUGACAUUUGGUCAAAUUGUGAUAAUUGUGGAGAAGAGGGACCAGCAGCCCAACCAUCAUAAUAAUAAUUGAUUCAAGCAAGAAUUAUCAGUGGAGGGCUCAGCUAGAGUGCGUGCAUAUCUCUUCCCAACUCUGACUCGAGUAAUAUCACAGUGGUAGCUUCAAGUACCCAUGGUGGGAGUAUUUAAACCAGGAAAUUGGGAAAUGAUACAAUGCAGACCUUUUAAAAUUCUUACUCUUUUCCCAGAGGGCUGGUUCUUAUUGGCAGAGACUCCUCCAUAGAUCUCUCAUGCUUCUAUAUGUUUUGCUGGAUAUGCCAAAAAUGUAAGGCCCUGACCUCUCUUUACCCAGGCUAUUCCUCAGGAUUGUAUCUGCAGUGAGCAGCUUUGAAGGAUGAGGUAAUGUCUCCCUCUGGUACAAAAGCAGGCUUGCUUACUGCUUGCUAAAAAUUGGUGGAUUCAUGAAGGUAGCUGUUAACCUGCUACUAAGCUCUUACCAAUGGAAAGUCUUACCAAUGGAGGCCUUGUGACUCUCAGGCUGGAUAUACCCAUUUUGGGAUAGAUCAACAUGGAUUCAACAAAACAAGAGAAACCUGUUGAGAAAUUGGGCAAGAGGAAAAAAGUCUAAUUCUGCUGUGAGAAUUGAAGCUUACUGAUCAACAUAAAGCAACUACUGAUCAGAAGGAAUCCAUGGACAUCAAAUUGAAAGCAAAAGCAGGGAACAUUAACAUGUGGAUUCUGAGGGUAAGGUUGACAUUUCCAGGAACCUGCUAAGGAGCACAGAGGAGAAAAGUGUCACAGUCUAAUCACUAGCCUUGCUUGCAGCUGAGGCCAUUGUUAGGAUGUGUUCAUGGGCCAGUCUGCUGCUGAUGGUGACUCAUUCUUGCCAAUAAAAUAAACAUUAAUAAAUUUA